This 397-nucleotide ribosomal RNA is filed under the name uncultured bacterium. Its description in RNAcentral is "partial 16S ribosomal RNA". It matches the Rfam family "Bacterial small subunit ribosomal RNA", at positions 523 to 918 of the family's 1533-position model. The record is from RNAcentral.
AUACGUAGGUGACAAGCGUUAUCCGGAUUUACUGGGCGUAAAGGGCGUGUAGGCGGUCUUGCAAGUCAGAAGUGAAAUUCCUGAGCUCAACUCGGGCGCUGCUUCUGAAACUGCAGGACUUGAGUGCUGGAGGGGAUAGCGGAAUUCCUAGUGGAGCGGUAAAAUGCGCAGAUAUUAGGAAGAACACCGGUGGCGAAGGCGGCUAUCGAGACAGUAACUGACGCUGAAGCGCGAAAGCGUGGGGAGCAAACAGGAUAAUCUGCCCGGUGAGUCCACGCCGUAAACGAUGAAUACUAGGUGUAGGGGGUAUCGACUCCCUCUGUGCCGCAGUUAACACAAUAAGUAUUCCGCCUGGGGAGUACGGCCGCAAGGUUGAAACUCAAAUUAAUUGACGGGG